Molecule: unclassified non-coding RNA, 207 nt
Filed under: soil metagenome
Description: partial contains 5.8S ribosomal RNA, internal transcribed spacer 2, and large subunit ribosomal RNA
Source: RNAcentral
AACGGUCUAUACCUGCGGUACCUGCGGAGGGAUCAUUACCGAGUUUACAACUCCCAAACCCCUGUGAACAUACCACUUGUUGCCUCGGCGGAUCAGCCCGCUCCCGGUAAAACGGGACGGCCCGCCAGAGGACCCCUAAACUCUGUUUCUAUAUGUAACUUCUGAGUAAAACCAUAAAUAAAUCAAAACUUUUAACAACGGAUCUCU